Molecule: ribosomal RNA, 790 nt
Filed under: uncultured bacterium
Lineage: Bacteria
Description: bacterial SSU rRNA
Rfam family: Bacterial small subunit ribosomal RNA
Source: RNAcentral
GAAGAGCUUGCUCUUCAAAUCGAGUGGCGAACGGGUGAGUAACGCGUGAGGAACCUGCCUCAAAGAGGGGGACAACAGUUGGAAACGACUGCUAAUACCGCAUAAGCCCACGGCUCGGCAUCGAGCAGGGGGAAAAGGAGCAAUCCGCUUUGAGAUGGCCUCGCGUCCGAUUAGCUAGUUGGUGAGGUAACGGCCCACCAAGGCGACGAUCGGUAGCCGGACUGAGAGGUUGAACGGCCACAUUGGGACUGAGACACGGCCCAGACUCCUACGGGAGGCAGCAGUGGGGAAUAUUGCACAAUGGGGGAAACCCUGAUGCAGCGACGCCGCGUGGAGGAAGAAGGUCUUCGGAUUGUAAACUCCUGUUGUUGAGGAAGAUAAUGACGGUACUCAACAAGGAAGUGACGGCUAACUACGUGCCAGCAGCCGCGGUAAAACGUAGGUCACAAGCGUUGUCCGGAAUUACUGGGUGUAAAGGGAGCGCAGGCGGGAGAACAAGUUGGAAGUGAAAUCCAUGGGCUUAACCCAUGAACUGCUUUCAAAACUGUUUUUCUUGAGUAGUGCAGAGGUAGGCGGAAUUCCCGGUGUAGCGGUGGAAUGCGUAGAUAUCGGGAGGAACACCAGUGGCGAAGGCGGCCUACUGGGCACCAACUGACGCUGAGGCUCGAAAGUGUGGGUAGCAAACAGGAUUAGAUACCCUGGUAGUCCACACCGUAAACGAUGAUUACUGGGUGUUGGAGGAUUGACCCCUUCAGUGCCGCAGUUAACACAAUAAGUAAUCCACCUGGGG